GAUGAACGCUGGCGGCGUGCCUAAUACAUGCAAGUCGAGCGAACGGACGAGAAGCUUGCUUCUCUGAUGUUAGCGGCGGACGGGUGAGUAACACGUGGAUCCCCUACCUAUCAGACUGGGAUAACUUCGGGAAUCCGGCGCUUAUACCGGAUAAUAUUUUGAACCGCAUGGUUCAAAAGUGAAUGACGGCCUUGCUGUCAGUUAUCGAUGGAUCCGCGCUGCAUUAGAUAGUUGGUAAGGUAACGGCUUACCAAGGCAACGAUGCCUAACCGACCUGAGAGGGUGAUCGGCCACACUGGAACGGGGACACGGUCCAGACUCCUACGGGAGGCAGCAGUAGGGAAUCUGCCGCAAUAGGCGAAAGCCUGACGGAGCAACGCCGCGUGAGUGAUGAAGGUCUUCGGAGCGUAAAACUCUGUUAUUAGGGAAGAACAUAUGUGUAAGUAACUGUGCACAGCUUGACGGUACCUAAUCAGAAAGCCACGGCUAACUACGUG
This 497-nucleotide ribosomal RNA is filed under the name uncultured bacterium. RNAcentral's name for it is "partial 16S ribosomal RNA". It matches the Rfam family "Bacterial small subunit ribosomal RNA", at positions 28 to 507 of the family's 1533-position model. The record is from RNAcentral.